AUUCACGCAACUUUCAUAAUAUAAUAUUCCCUCAUUGAACUUUGAGGAGACGCCUACCGUAGCAUACGGAGAGCGAAGAGCGCUUUAUACUGCAAUAGAUCAUGUCAACAAAACGCAUUUAGUCGACAGAGAGAGAAGAAUGGACACACAAUCACGCCAGAACUGGGUAGCAUGGAAAAGGAAAACACAAGUGCAGACCCUGCUCUUGACACAACGAGCGCUUCUUCUCACUGAAAUCACUUGAGGAUUGGAACAUUGAAGGAUGUUCGGGGAUAUAAAAGGCACACGAGCGUUUGUGAAGAUUGCAAAGAAAGAUCAUUUAAAAGGCGAAUAGUAUCAGAGACUUCAUAUAUCGUUUUGAUAAAAGACCAAGAAUUUUCUUCAUUUUUAAGGAAGUUUCUCUACAAAAAUUCAUGACUGGCAUCCUUUAAGUGACAGCUUACAAUACGAUCGGCCAUCGAUUCAUGAACUGAUUUCCCAUGGAACCGAUAUCGCAGACUUAAACACGGUUUUCUUCACUUUGACAUGAUUGAAUUUGUCAUGUUCAGUACACAAAAAGGAUAUGCGAGGAAACCCAAUAAAAUUAAUUCAGCAAAAUUCAAUCAACACGACAACCGACUUGACGAAACGGAACCCUAAUUAGAGAGGCGAUGGAUUUUUAACUGUCUGUGACGGAUAGAGUUUCACUGAGCACAAUCCAUAACGAUGGCAGAAUUUACACUGUGCACUGGUAGUGAUUGAGGUGGUUUUCAAAAACUUCAAUCAAAUCGACUGCCACCCCAAAAUUUGCUUUACAACCCGAAACAUGGCUGCUCCGAUCGCAAUCAUCUUUGUCACUUACGGAGAAGUGUGACCUAAUGUUAAUUGCGACUGGGCCAAUCAUCUAUGAGUUAAAUCUGUGACGUAGUGUCGAUGUACCACGCGGAUCGAAGACUUUACAAACCGAAAGAAACCUUAUCAAUACACCCUAUUUCUCCAGCUCACCU
This is a non-coding RNA of Pocillopora verrucosa, 986 nucleotides long. The record is from RefSeq and is a predicted model, not a curated record. Lineage: Eukaryota; Metazoa; Cnidaria; Anthozoa; Scleractinia; Pocilloporidae.